GAAUUCACUAGUGAUUCAGGCCUAACACAUGCAAGUCGAGCGGUAGAGAGAAGCUUGCUUCUCUUGAGAGCGGCGGACGGGUGAGUAAUGCCUAGGAAUCUGCCUGGUAGUGGGGGAUAACGUUCGGAAACGGACGCUAAUACCGCAUACGUCCUACGGGAGAAAGCAGGGGACCUUCGGGCCUUGCGCUAUCAGAUGAGCCUAGGUCGGAUUAGCUAGUUGGUGAGGUAAUGGCUCACCAAGGCUACGAUCCGUAACUGGUCUGAGAGGAUGAUCAGUCACACUGGAACUGAGACACGGUCCAGACUCCUACGGGAGGCAGCAGUGGGGAAUAUUGGACAAUGGGCGAAAGCCUGAUCCAGCAAGGCCGCGUGUGUGAAGAAGGUCUUCGGAUUGUAAAGCUAUGGAAGUUGGGAGGAAGGGCAUUAACCUAAUACGUUAGUGUUUGACGUACCGACAGA
This 461-nucleotide ribosomal RNA is filed under the name uncultured bacterium. Its description in RNAcentral is "bacterial SSU rRNA". It matches the Rfam family "Bacterial small subunit ribosomal RNA", at positions 34 to 485 of the family's 1533-position model. The record is from RNAcentral.